GAAAAUAAAUAGAAAAAUAAAAUAAAUUUUAGGUUAUUUUGUUGAGGUGGGCACGAACAAAAAAUGUGUGCCAACCCUUCUUUCUACGUAUAAAAGACUCCAAAGAGGAAACGUCAUUGGUGAUUUCUUCACAACCUUCUCUUCUAUCUCAAGGAAGAAAUCGAUCUUUUCUUGAGGCUUGAAAUUUUCGUAAUCAAUUAAUGGUGAUGAGCAAUAAUCCGUGGGUAGGAGGAGGAGGCGGCCACACUGCGAAACAGCCGAAAAGACUCGGCGGACCGCAACCGAAAUUGUCGAAAAGAUUGAGCAUGAAAUUCGACGCCGGUGUGGAGAAAACUAAGGAUGCGGCGAAGAAAGUUAAGGACGGAGCCUCCAGUGGUGUGAAUUGGAUCAAAAUCAAAUGCAACAAGAGCAAACUCUUCCAGAAGAAAUAACAAUCUCUAGAUAUUCGAUUUCUCCAUCACAUGGUUUGAUUUGUAAUUUUCCCCUAAUUCUUUCUUGCAUUUACAAUUGACAAAUAAGUAAUUGAUAAUUUUCUUUGGAUUUGACAUUUACGAUUGUUUAUGUAAAUUUUGUUUUGAAUUUUGUUGAAUUUAUUAUUUCUUGUGCAAUUUUCUUUAUUGUGGUUUUAGGCUUUGAGCGAAAAAAGCAAGUAGCCAUCCACCAGAUAUUCUUUUCUUUAUUCUACGAUAUAUUAAAAUUGAUAUUCGACAUGCGCGUAAGUUGUCCGGACACCCGUGGUUCUAAAAAAAUAAUAAUAAUUUAUGGAUUGAUUUACCAUGAAUUUAUUAUAUUUUUUGGUCUUCUCCAAUAGAUCAAUUAAGAAAUACAUAGAUAGAGAGCCAUUUCUUGACAAAUUGGGGUUAAAUAGAAGGGAUGUGCUAUAGACUCCUGCCAAAUCUCUCAUGUGCGGGCCUCAGCAUAUUUAUUUUUUUCAUGUGGGACCGAUCCCUACGGUGAGGGGUCGGCAAAACAUCUGUAGGAAAUUGUUCUGUACAUAGAAAAGCUCAACCUCAAUUGAACUCGAAUGUCAAAUACGAUCCUUAACAUUUUAACUUUGUAAUAAAUUUUGUACUAGUAAUUGUUAAUACGAAUGGCCAUUAGAGAUGGGGUGGUGGUGGAAUCUAUUUCAACGAUCUAAGUUAGACUGAGCACGUAAUUUUGUUCAUGAGCAGUUUUUUUUUCUUUUUUAAUCAAAAUUUGAUCCAUAUUUUCUUUAAAAUGGCUUGCAUAAUUCUAAUAAAAUGAAAUCAGAUCAAGUUUGAGUUAACGAUUAGAAGAUAUAUGAAUUGAACUCGGAAAAGAAAAUAUCUUUUUUUUUUUUUUUUAAAUUGUUCUGUCUUUCAUUUUUCAAUCUUGAAAUGGAGGUUGAAUUGAACAUUCUGCCCUUGAAAUGGAAGGCAACACAUUUCCCCAUUCAACGGUACAUAAGGGCUCAUUCGUCCAUUUGUGUCAAGUGGUAGGUGAAGUCUCUGGGCCGGCCCUAUAUCAAUCUUCAAAAAAAUCGAUUUCACGCAGGGGCGAAGUCUUUUGCUAAUAUGAGAAGAAUUGAAGACUGUGCGUAUAUGGAGAGUCGAAGAAAUCUUUGGAGUGGGUGGCUUUUUGCAGAGGGUAAAGAGAGAGAGGUGACAUGUCUCUUCCGGUUAGCUGACCAGUUGUUGUAUUGUUACUAACUAGCACCAAAAUGUCUUGUAAUUUGAGUAUAUAUUAAUAUAGCCAUGGCCAUAAUGUGCGCUUAAAAGUAGUUCGUGUGACCAAGCAACACUUAUGAUCCGAAGUUAAUUUCGUGAAUGUCAUGUUAACUCUUUUGAGUUCAUGGAGCUACAUCAUUUUAUGAAUAGCUG
This 1841-nucleotide long non-coding RNA is filed under the name Olea europaea (common olive). Its description in RNAcentral is "long non-coding RNA (OEUR_LNC009968)". Lineage: Eukaryota; Viridiplantae; Streptophyta; Magnoliopsida; Lamiales; Oleaceae. The record is from RNAcentral.